Molecule: long non-coding RNA, 1164 nt
Organism: Cyprinus carpio carpio
Lineage: Eukaryota; Metazoa; Chordata; Actinopteri; Cypriniformes; Cyprinidae
Source: Ensembl
AUGCAGACUGGCGCAUCAGAUCCUCCUGUGGUCCCAGGGCAAAUUGUUGUCUCUCAGAGCAACAUACAUCCCAGUGAAUCAGAAUCAGGGAGCAGACAUCCUGUCGAGGCAGGGGCUGAGGCUAGGGGAAUGGAGACUCCAUCCCGAGGUGGUGGAGUCAAUAUGUCAGAGGUUCGGCCCAGUGGAAGUGGAUCUAUUCGCGUCUCGGGAGAUGACUCACUGUCCACUGUGGUUCUCCCUCACACAUCCAGCCCCACUGGGGUUGGAUGCCAUGGUACAGAAGUGGCCGAGGCUGCGUCUGUAUGCUUUUCCCCCGAUCGCUCUGCUCCCGGGAGUUCGUCGCAACGGCAUCAGUCUAUUAUUGGUAGCCCCAUUGUGGCCGGCCCGAGUAUGGCUCUCAGACAUAAUAUUACUCCUGGACGGCCCUCCAUGGGAGCUUCCCGUCAGGAGGGACCUGCUGACACAGGCAGAGGGCUCAAUAUUUCACCCUCGGCCCGAACUAUGGAAACUGUGGGUCUGGCCCCUGAGGCGGCACAGUACCGAGAGGCCGGCCUGUCAGCAGGAGUAGUGGAAACCAUACUCAGCUCUAGAGCUCCUUCCACCAGGAAAUUGUACGGCCUAAAAUGGAAUGUUUUCACCAUUUGGUGCAGAGAGCGUGAGGUGGACCCAGUUAACUGCCCAGUGGCUUCAGUGCUGGAGUUCCUCCAAGAUCGCUUCUCGGCUGGUCUUACCCCGUCUACUCUCAAGGUGUACGUGGCUGCCAUUUCGGCUUUCCAUGCUCCUCUGAGUGAUGGGCCUCUUGGGAGACAGCCGUUGGUCGUACGUUUCCUCCGUGGGGCUUGGAGGAUGAGACCUGCGGCUCGUUCCAAGGUUCCCUCUUGGGACCUGGCGGUGGUUUUCGAAGGGUUGGUUGAGGCCCCCUUCGAACCGCUGGAGUCGGCUGAGGCCAAGAACCUUUCCCUAAAGGUGGCUUUCUUGUUGGCCAUUACCUCUCUGAGGAGGGUAGGAGAUCUCCAGGCACUCUCUAUAUCUAAUGGGUGCCUGAGUUUGCUCCAGGCGACAUCAAAGCCAUCCAACAUCCUAGGCCGGGCUAUUUGCCCAAGGUGCCGUCUAACGUGGCACGGCCUACGGUUCUGCAGGCUUGUCAUCCUCCGCCUCAUGUGA